UGGGACGAGAUCAUGAGGCCUUC
Molecule: microRNA, 23 nt
Filed under: Mus musculus (house mouse)
Lineage: Eukaryota; Metazoa; Chordata; Mammalia; Rodentia; Muridae
Description: mmu-miR-1963
Source: miRBase by way of RNAcentral